UCGGGAAUUUUGGGCAAUGGGCGAAAGCCUGACCCAGCAACGCCGCGUGAAGGAUGAAGUAUUUCGGUAUGUAAACUUCGAAAGAAUAGGAAGAAUAAAUGACGGUACUAUUUAUAAGGUCCGGCUAACUACGUGCCAGCAGCCGCGGUAAUACGUAGGGACCAAGCGUUGUUCGGAUUUACUGGGCGUAAAGGGCGCGUAGGCGGCAAUUCAAGUCAUCUGUGAAAUCUCCGGGCUUAACUCGGAACGGUCAGAUGAUACUGCUUUGCUAGAGUGCAGAAGGGGCAAUCGGAAUUCUUGGUGUAGCGGUGAAAUGCGUAGAUAUCAAGAGGAACACCUGAGGUGAAGACGGGUUGCUGGGCUGACACUGACGCUGAGGUGCGAAAGCGUGGGGAGCAAACAGGAUUAGAUACCCACGUAGUCCCUGAGCGGGCUGGCAAGGCGCAU
This 447-nucleotide ribosomal RNA is filed under the name uncultured bacterium. RNAcentral describes it as "bacterial SSU rRNA". It matches the Rfam family "Bacterial small subunit ribosomal RNA", at positions 355 to 825 of the family's 1533-position model. The record is from RNAcentral.